Molecule: long non-coding RNA, 3549 nt
Organism: Metopolophium dirhodum (rose-grain aphid)
Lineage: Eukaryota; Metazoa; Arthropoda; Insecta; Hemiptera; Aphididae
Exons: 5
Source: RefSeq, a predicted model, not a curated record
UGCAUGAUACAAGAAAUAUAAUAUCAAAAAAUACAUUAUUCAGAUUUAACAAUUUAUAUAAGUUAAAACAUCGAUGACGAGUAGGUAGGUAAUGAAUGAUGUGUUUCUUUGUUUUUUAAGCCUCCAUAGUUCAGGCUUCAAUAAACAUAUUUUUAAGCAAUGUUUGCUAAUCAAAUAGUAGUUAAAACAGUAAAAAUGUAUAACUUAAAUAUUUUAAUUUUAAACAAAUAUGAUACUGUACUGUAUUGCCGAAUCUAUAUAUUAUGGUGCCAGUAUAGCAUGCGACACAAAAUUAGCUAAAUUGAUAACAUAUAAAAAAACACUAACUGUUUACCUAUAUCAAGUAAAAAACAUUUAAUUUGGAUUCAAAAUACAAUAUAAAAUAUAAACAUACAUGAUUUAAAAGGAUCUAGAUGUCACUGUUAAAGAAUACAACACAACCUUGUACUGUAAUAAGCUUCCAAACCAAUAAAAACAAUUGAUUAAAAAUUCUAAAAAAAAAUGUUGGAUUCAAAUACCAAAGUAUACUGAAGCAUGUAAUAUACUAGUAAUUGAACAAAUUGUCUUCAUUAAAUGUUUAUGAAGUGCAGUUCUUAGCUCUAAUACUAAACUCAAUAAAUGUGUUGUAAUGGACAUUAAUGUUAUGGAAUACCUAUAAAUACCAACAUGUUCCUACACAUCUCAAAUAAAAAAUAAAGUGACUGUUUACUUUGGAGUUUUGGACUACUAAAUGAACAUUAAACAGUCUACAGUCAAUAUGAGUCAAAUACUAGACUGUCAUUCAGACGAUGUUAUACGAACCCCGCGCCGCCGCCUCCGUGAAUGAUACACGUCGCGCGUAAUGCGCUGCGGCGGCGACCAACCAAAUUUUUGAAAAAGCUCUUCGUCAUGCACAAUAAAUUAGAGCUUAUCCUGAUUCAGAUUAUUAUAUUUUGUUUAUUUCUGUACGUUUAGCUCGUUCUCGAGAAAUAGAGUGGACAAACAUACAUAGGGCCAGCUCAGGCGAAAAUAGUGAACUAAGCAAAACCAAAUUUUGCCGCCCCUAACAAUAUUAUAUUAUCAGUAUUUUGAAAAUUCCGCCCUCUUUUAAAGUUACAACACAACAUUUUUUUUUUAAUUUUAAGUUUAUACUGAUGUAUUAUUGUGAUAAAAUAAUAAAAAUGUUUUUGUAAAAAUCCGAAGUCAAAAAAAUUAUUAUUUAUCCAGAUAGUCAGACAGUCAUAGAGCGGACAAGUGAGCAACCGUCCAUGUUUUACGUGUAAAAGUAGUUUGAUUUACAUAAUAAUUUUAAUAACUUACGAUAUUAUUUCAGAGUUUUGUUUUUCAUAAUCCUAAGUAUUUUUAUGUGCUUAACACGAUGGUGUGAUUUAAAAUUCAAUAUAUCUUGUAUAUCUCUGCAACAAAAACACUCCGCUAAACUCCAUGUGAGAAAAAAAAUGGCUUUAAAAUUUGUAUUAUAAUUUUAUAGCUAAGUCUUUGAACUGUAGAUAUCAUUUAUGUUAAAAUAGUCUGCUAAAUAAUUUAAUUUAGCUUGGUGACUUUAAGAGACUUGGUUAUAGUAAUAUACACUGUACAUUUUUCAAUGAUAGUACCUACCUAUAGCGAGUAUAUGUACUCAUUAUGCAAUAGUAUUUUGAAAUUUUUAACUUACGUCACCAAGCUAAGUUCAAUAUUAUUCAGCAGAUUAUUUUAACAUAAAUUAUAUCUAUAGUUCAAAGACUUAGCUAUAAAUAUCAUAACUUUUAGAGCCGAUUUUGUAUAUACCUAAUUAGCGUUUUUUUUUACACGGAGUUUGGCGGAGUGUUUUUAUUGGAAUAUCACUAAUUUUUUGUUGAUACCUUAUUAUUUGUUUAAAUCAUUGUUACGCGACUAGAAAUUAGUAAUAACGUGCUUUAAUUUUAAUAAUAUGAUAUCGUGAUUGAGAGUGAAUGUUGCCGUAGUAUGAUCAGUAGUGGGCUUGAUAAGCGGUGGAUCGGGGGGACAAUAUUAUAUUUUAUGAUAUUUACGUUGCAUACCUAUAGGUACAAAACAUCGGACUUAAAAGUACUUGAACAUUUUUGGUUGUUACUUUUAAGCCAUCCAGGCAAUCUGCUUGCGAGUUCCUAUCUGCACAAUAUUUCUGAUCGAUUAAUAUCUUAUAUUAUUAUAUUUAUUUUAAAUAUUUAUUUUAGCAGUGGUUCCUAACAAUACCUACCAUGUUUAAGAUUGGACUCUAGAAUUAUAAUUACGAAUUUAUGAUAUAGAUAUAUUAUAGAUAAUUGACCUACUGAAAAAUAUUGGAAUGUUAAAAUCAUGUACAAUUUAUUAUGCUCUAUAUUCCUUUUAAAAAGUCAAUGCUAACUUCCAAGUCAUUUUUAUAACUUUUAUACGCUUUUAAAAUUAUAUCUGAUUAUACUUUAUAUUAGGUUUUGUUGUGACUUCCUGCCGGGUUGGGUUAAGGGUUCAAGGCAGACCUUUUACUUGUCGCUGGUCCCGAGGUUACUCAUCGAAAUUUGUAUAUAAUUAUAUCUAAUCUACAGUCCACUUUCCUAUAUUAUGUUUUAAGCACUGCGUGUUUUUGGUUAUAGUGUAAUCUAUUUUAUAUGAAUAUUUUCUAUCGUGGUAUAUCCCUAUUAACUUACGAAAUUAUUAAGAAUUAUCUUAACAUUUUUUGAUAAUCGCACGUAGCGACCGUUAUAAUUGUAUACAUAACACUCAAAACAAUUUAACCAUAUAAAAUGGUUGGUAUAAAAAUAUUGAAGAGUAACUAACUAUAAUCAAUUUUAAAAUAUUUGUAACUAUAAACAUAGGUCAUAUAGUAAUGUCAAAUUGUCAACCAUCAGAGUUACUGUAUUUGUUCAUUUUUCAAAAUAAACAAAAAAAAAAGGUGGGUAAAUGGAAGUCGCUCUGCUGUACAGUAGGUUACAAGUGGGUCACUGUAAUGUAUGGUAUUAAAUUUGAAUUCAAUGAUAUAAUAUCAUUGUAUUUGUAUAAGAAAAACGAUUCUGAGCGAAAACGGUCAGGCAGCCAAUGAUAUUACCAAGUAUAUUUGAUGAUAUUAUUGUGAAUAAAGUAAUUUAUAUAUUUACUUAUUUACGUGGAAUCUUGUUUUAAAUUUUCAAUCCUUAGCUACAAAAAUUGAAAAUUUUAUAAAUUUUUAACUACAAAAUAGUUAUUAAAUUUUAAAUUUGAUACAUUUUGUCAAAAUUUGAACUUCAAAUGCUUAUAAAAAAAAAUUGUGCUUAUGUAUUUUUAAUAUUUUUCAACUGCUAUUGUAACAUUAUAUCAGGAGCCUUGCAUUAAAUUUUCACGCUUUUUUACCAAACUAAUAAAAUUGUAUUGAUAUUUAUAGAAAAAAAACUAAAAAAAUUGAAAACUGACAAUGUUCGUAAACAGCUCAAAAAGAGUCAAAUUAUUUUCAAAAUGUUAUCUUGUAUAGAAAAUGCUAAUAUAAACAUUUAGUGAAAUUUUCAAGUAUCUAUAGUAAUUUGUUUUUUAAUUAAAACAAAAUAACGAGAAAUCGAGUGAAUAUCAAAUGUUGUAAAAAUAUGAAUUUCAAACGCUCAUAAA